This is a long non-coding RNA of Schistocerca piceifrons (Central American locust), 406 nucleotides long. RefSeq lists it as uncharacterized. The transcript has 2 exons. The record is from RefSeq and is a predicted model, not a curated record. Lineage: Eukaryota; Metazoa; Arthropoda; Insecta; Orthoptera; Acrididae.
CAGGCAGUCAGGUAUUGAUCUGAGCUUUGCUCAGGGAGUCUAUCUCUGUAGGACACUCAAAUGAAAGGAGACUAAUGCAACAGUUGGCUGAUAAACUAUCACGUGGCUUGUGUGUGGUAAUAUGAGCUCCUUGAUUGCAUUUUAAUGAUCUGAGCUAAUGUAAUCACUUAGGAUUCCCACGAACUCUGCCACCAGGCAUACAUCACCCAUGCAGAAUAGAAUGAGGUAUGCUAUCAGUUGGCACAUGCAGUCUUUUCCUUCACCUUAGAGGUCAUCACUGCAGUUUAUACAGUGACAUCACAGAAUGAAGACUACGCUUACAAGUCCACAAAUAAAUAAAUUCAUUUUUAAAGGGUAUUAAAGAGCUUGUAUCAUAGUAACUAUAAUAAAUGAUUCCUCAUCCAUU